RNAcentral lists this ribosomal RNA (468 nucleotides) under uncultured bacterium. Its description in RNAcentral is "partial 16S ribosomal RNA". It matches the Rfam family "Bacterial small subunit ribosomal RNA", at positions 28 to 507 of the family's 1533-position model. The record is from RNAcentral.
GACGAACGCUGGCGGCGUGCUUAACACAUGCAAGUCGAACGGAAAGGCCCUGCUUUUGUGGGGUGCUCGAGUGGCGAACGGGUGAGUAACACGUGAGUAACCUGCCCUUGACUUUGGGAUAACUUCAGGAAACUGGGGCUAAUACCGGAUAGGAGCUCCUGCUGCAUGGUGGGGGUUGGAAAGUUUCGGCGGUUGGGGAUGGACUCGCGGCUUAUCAGCUUGUUGGUGGGGUAGUGGCUUACCAAGGCUUUGACGGGUAGCCGGCCUGAGAGGGUGACCGGACACAGUGGGACUGAGAUACGGCCCAGACUCCUACGGGAGGCAGCAGUGGGGAAUAUUGCACUAUGGGCGGAAGCCUGAUGCAGCAACGCCGCGUGCGGGAUGACGGCCUUCGGGUUGUAAACCGCUUUCGCCUGUGACGAAGCGUGAGUGACGGUAAUGGGUAAAGAAGCACCGGCUAACUACGUG